AUUGAACGCUGGCGGCAUGCUUUACACAUGCAAGUCGAACGGUAACAGGCCGCCAGGUGCUAACGAGUGGCGAACGGGUGAGUAAUGCAUCGGAACGUGCCCAGUCGUGGGGGAUAACUACUCGAAAGAGUAGCUAAUACCGCAUACGAUCUAUGGAUGAAAGCGGGGGACCGUAAGGCCUCGCGCGAUUGGAGCGGCCGAUGUCAGAUUAGGUAGUUGGUGGGGUAAAGGCUCACCAAGCCAACGAUCUGUAGCUGGUCUGAGAGGACGACCAGCCACACUGGGACUGAGACACGGCCCAGACUCCUACGGGAGGCAGCAGUGGGGAAUUUUGGACAAUGGGCGCAAGCCUGAUCCAGCAAUGCCGCGUGCAGGAAGAAGGCCUUCGGGUUGUAAACUGCUUUUGUACGGAACGAAACGGCUCUGGUUAAUACCCGGGGCUAAUGACGGUACCGUAAGAAUAAGCACCGGCUAACUACGUG
RNAcentral lists this ribosomal RNA (482 nucleotides) under uncultured bacterium. RNAcentral describes it as "partial 16S ribosomal RNA". It matches the Rfam family "Bacterial small subunit ribosomal RNA", at positions 30 to 507 of the family's 1533-position model. The record is from RNAcentral.